RNAcentral lists this long non-coding RNA (1341 nucleotides) under Calidris pygmaea (Spoon-billed sandpiper). RNAcentral describes it as "lncRNA (ENSCPGG00000002888.1)". Lineage: Eukaryota; Metazoa; Chordata; Aves; Charadriiformes; Scolopacidae. The record is from RNAcentral.
UGCCAUGAUGCGCUCCGCAAUUCCCGCUGGGGAAGCGCCCGCUGACCAGGGCUUGUCUCCUGAGGUGGGAGCGUCCUGUUGCUCGGCGGAAGGUGAGCCCGGGACGGCGGGAGCCGCCUCCCGAGCCCCGAGGCGGGCUCCUGGUGCGGUGUGGGGAGCAGCCGGGGAGGCCUCCGCGAAGCCUGCCGUGGUCCCGGCUCCCCUCGGGGUGUAAAACUCCCCUCGUCGCCGUGGCUCCCUCAUAAAAACGGCCCCCAGGUUCACUGUUACCUUCGUGUAAGCCACCGAAGAAAGCGCCAUCGGUCCAUAGGAAGGUGCCAUCACUUGAUGUCUAAAAUCGUCUGUCAGAAGUUACAGUUGGAAGGCAUAGAGGCGUGUUGUCAAAGGGGAACUGGCAGCUGGUACGAAUUGCAAAGAAAUGAGAGGAAAAUUUCUCUUUUCACAACACGAAGUGUGAGGGAGAGUGUUUCCCAGUCGGUGUGGCAGUGUUCCAUUCGAAGGGCAGCGCGAUGAGGGCGACAUUCCUGACAGAAAAAAAGAUCCUUCUAAGUGGACAAAAAUGCGAAUAUAUAAGAAGCUGAACAGCAAAUUUCAAAUUUACAUUGGGCUUAAUUACUUUAUGAAUCUCAUCUAAGCAAUACAGAAACUGCAUCGGUAACAGAAGGGGAGAAACGCCCACCACCUGCCUGCCUGAAAGCUGUGGGACUCAUCCCACCAUGGCUUUGGUGACAGCUGGCAGGCCGUGGUCCAGCAGGGAGGAGGGCCUCCCUUACGCCACCUCCACCUCCCCUCGUCCCAAGGAGUGAACCUGUGGUGACAGCACCACUGCAAAAUAUCGCUGGUGACAGCAGGCAUCGGCCCGAGCUCAUCCUCCUGCGGAGGCUGGAACAAAGUUCUGACAAGAUGUGCGAUGCAAAAAGUAAAUCAUUAAUAUUUAUCGGACUGCUUUUCAGCUGCCUAGAAAUGAUCUCUUCAGCUGACACAGGUUUCUCUAUGUCUACGUACGAUGUGACAUCACGAAGCAUUUAUCUCAGAUGGCCCAAGUUUUCAGGAGCCUCUUCUUACAGAGUCACAGCUACAGCUGUGAAUACUGUGGGCCAUUCAUUACUGGCUCAUUUUAGUGAUGUUACGCUUAAAGGAACUCUAACUUCAUUAAUUCCCAAUACUAUUUAUGCUAUACAAGCGGAAGCCAUUGACAAGAAUGGAUUUAUUCUUGCAGAAACACAGAUCAUGCAGUCAACAGGUUAGUAAGAGAAACUUUGUGAAGUAUAAAUUCUAUUGACUGGAAAAUUAUAGGGGACUGGGAUUUUACCCUUGUUGUUUCAUUGCACCGGUAGGGAA